Molecule: long non-coding RNA, 542 nt
Filed under: Zonotrichia albicollis (white-throated sparrow)
Lineage: Eukaryota; Metazoa; Chordata; Aves; Passeriformes; Passerellidae
Description: lncRNA (ENSZALG00000000857.1)
Source: RNAcentral
AUUUAAAUCAUAAUGUUGCACUAGAUUGCAACACCUUGCUUUUCUUAAAACUCAUGGCAAUUCCCUAAGGACAGUCCGUCCUUAGAGAAAAUAAGAGAUUUCAUCACCAAGAAUCCCAGAAGAAUUCUUGCACUUCAGAAUGAUGAUUUUUAAAAAAAAAAAAAAAGAAAAAGGAAAAAAAGACACAUUUUGCACACAAGAAUAUGGCUGCUGAUGUGAUAAUUGAGACUCAGCUGGCAAAAAAAUAUUUAUCUUUUCACAAUUAUCCUCUUGGAUUUCAUUCUGCAGGAGGUUGAAACAGAAGUCUUGGCAAAAUUAUAAAGUUUGAAUGGGAGAAGUGGCUGCUGUUGGAGGGGCUGUGCUGGACCAGCACAGAGGGAUCUGCCCUCUGGCCACCACCAGGAGAAGGCUCACAGAGCAGCGUGGUGAGAGACCUGCACAAGUGAUUUCCCACCUGAGCACGCUGUGACCUGGAUGCACAGGCCUCUGCAGGACAGGCUGCCACAUGGAACAUCAUUCUGGUGAGCCCCACAGCCCCUGGG